Molecule: ribosomal RNA, 253 nt
Filed under: uncultured bacterium
Lineage: Bacteria
Description: partial 16S ribosomal RNA
Rfam family: Bacterial small subunit ribosomal RNA
Source: RNAcentral
UACGUAGGGUGCGAGCGUUAAUCGGAAUUACUGGGCGUAAAGGGUGCGCAGGCGGCCGAGCAAGUCGAGUGUGAAAGCCCCGAGCUUAACUUGGGAACUGCGCUCGAAACUACUUGGCUAGAGUGUGGCAGAGGGAGGUGGAAUUCCACGUGUAGCGGUGAAAUGCGUAGAGAUGUGGAGGAACACCGAUGGCGAAGGCAGCCUCGUGGGCCAACACUGACGCUCAUGCACGAAAGCGUGGGGAGCAAACAGG